RNAcentral lists this long non-coding RNA (487 nucleotides) under Anas platyrhynchos platyrhynchos (common mallard). RNAcentral's name for it is "lncRNA (ENSAPLG00000018922.1)". The record is from RNAcentral. Lineage: Eukaryota; Metazoa; Chordata; Aves; Anseriformes; Anatidae.
GUAGCUUGUGUUUUUCCUGAUGAGUGUCCAUUUGAGGCUGAUGCCUCUCCCUGAAAAGUCCUGGUGGGACAAAAGCUGUGGUGAUCUGGCACCUGUCCCAGCUACAUGGGAAGGCUCCUGGGGAGUGAGGAGAAGAUUCAUCAAAACAGAUGAAACCGAUGGCUUUCUCGAGCCCAGAAAGGCAAGCCUGGCAGUCCCACACACCUAUCGAUCUCACAGAAGAUGCAACUCGCACUUCUCAAAGUUGGAUUUCUGCUUCCAAGUGGCUGCUUUGCAGCUCAGGCUACAGAGGACGGAGGUCGGCAUGGGAGGGAAAGACCUCAGCACGCGAUUGUGCUCAGCAGGUCAUUCCCACAGCCUGACUCGAGCACAUCCCCCCUGCACCAUUUAUGGCUAGGAAGGAGAAGUGGAAGCGCUGUGGAUACACUGAGAUGAAUUAGUGCAGAAUGCCAUUUGCACUGGGGAACGCCAGCAGCACCACAUCCUC